CAAAGAUGUCUGCUUCCUUUGAUCAUGUCACAUAUCUUCCAUCUCCUUUUCACUCAACUAGAAUUCAGUAUUUGUUUGUCUGGCAUGAUGCCUAUGAAUAACUCAGGUCAUAAGCAAAAACAAGGGAGAGGCUGUUAUGGCAUCUGUGUGUAAUUUGCUGGGAGGCUCUUAAGACCAGCGUUCUCAAACAUUCCUCGCCGGAACGUCAGCUAACCCACCUUCACAGUUGAUUGGAUCUUGCUGCCUGUAACCACUCAACUCCCCGUCGCUGGCCUGCUACUAUUCUCGGCGCUAUUCACCUGCCUGCCUCCCUGCCCUACACUUCACAGUGAGUGUACACGAACUGGUUCUGCCUUACUCGGACCACUAAUCCCCUCCUAGCCUCGCCAUCAACCCAGACAAUGACUCAGAGAAACCCUGCGACCCUGUACCUUGUAUGCCUGCUCCGGAAAAUCCCAAAUAACGUGCCCAGCCCGAUAAAGAGACUAUUUCCUUUUGGCUUUGCUGCUGCA
This is a long non-coding RNA of Neolamprologus brichardi, 512 nucleotides long. RefSeq lists it as uncharacterized. The record is from RefSeq and is a predicted model, not a curated record. NCBI's taxonomy places the organism in Eukaryota, Metazoa, Chordata, Actinopteri, Cichliformes, Cichlidae.